GGCGCGAAGCUACCGUGCGCUGG
Molecule: small nuclear RNA, 23 nt
Filed under: Arabidopsis thaliana (thale cress)
Lineage: Eukaryota; Viridiplantae; Streptophyta; Magnoliopsida; Brassicales; Brassicaceae
Description: snRNA_03875
Source: RNAcentral